AUCCUGUUUGGUUUGUCUACAGUGAGUUUCAGCUAAUUCAUGAAUUGUGCUUAUAUGUACUAUCUUCAUCACAAAGGACAAAACUUAUACGAGCAACACUGGCAACAUUGCAUGCUUUUCUAUCAUGGAUUCCUCUGGGCUAUAUAUUUGAAUCCCUGCUGGUUUGUGCUUUAACAACUACGGAUCUAAAGAGUUAUUAGUGCUAAGUUACUUUUGGUUUCUAUAUUUUUCUGUAACAUUUUCCUUUAUCCGACUUUCUUAUCUCCCAUUAAUCUUAUGCAUUUGCUAAUGUUUUGUGGAUGUGAUAGCUGGAAACACUCCUAAAGUUCUUUCCCAUGGCAUUGUAUAGGAAUCUUAUUCUCCUGUGUUUAACAGAUGUUUCGUCCCUUCAAUUUGAAGAUUACUAUGACAUGCAAUAUGUUAAAAUGUACACUAUGUUCAUGAUGCAACUACCGGUAUCGUUCUGUUAUCAUUGCAUAUUUGCAUGUGUAUUAGUUCUAUAUCCAAAAUUGCUAUUUGUUUCCUUGAGUGUGCUCAAUGACACAUCAUCUAAUGUUCCAUAGAGUAUUCUCCCACUUGGAACGAAUACUCCUAAUUCUUAUGCAAAUGGGAAGAGCAGGUACUUCUUCAUUGCAUGGAAUUGCUGCAUGCAUGUAAACUCAUGAUGCCUCUGCUGCAUCUUCAUACUGAGAUUCUGAUGUGCCAUUGAGCAUGUCUGAUAUGCUUCUUUUGGUCCAUUCAGGCAUUUAUUCAAAAUCUAGCCCUUUUUUUCACUUCAUUUUACAAGGCAAGUUCCUCGGCUGUAUAGUGAAUAGAUAAUAUGAAUGCCAAGAUUUAAAAGGUUCCACUGUCGGCAUGCCGUUAUUCAGUCCAUUUUUAAUGUUCUUUGAGUGCUUGAGUAGUUUUAUUAAAACCAAACUAAA
This is a long non-coding RNA of Magnolia sinica, 923 nucleotides long. RefSeq lists it as uncharacterized. NCBI's taxonomy places the organism in Eukaryota, Viridiplantae, Streptophyta, Magnoliopsida, Magnoliales, Magnoliaceae. The transcript is spliced from 3 exons. The record is from RefSeq and is a predicted model, not a curated record.